Molecule: ribosomal RNA, 781 nt
Filed under: Mayamontana coccolobae
Lineage: Eukaryota; Fungi; Basidiomycota; Agaricomycetes; Agaricales; Stephanosporaceae
Description: eukaryotic LSU rRNA
Rfam family: Eukaryotic large subunit ribosomal RNA
Source: RNAcentral
GGAUUCCCCUAGUAACUGCGAGUGAAGAGGGAAAAGCUCAAAUUUGAAAUCUGGCAGUCCUUGUGACCGUCCGAGUUGUAAUUUAGAGAAGUGUUACCCGCGCUGGACCGUGUACAAGUCUCCUCGAACGGAGCAUCAUAAAGGGUGAGAAUCCCGUAUAUGACAUGGACUACCAGGGCUUUUGUGGUGUGAUCUCGAAGAGUCGAGUUGUUUGGGAAUGCAGCUCUAAGUGGGUGGUAAAUUCCAUCUAAAGCUAAAUACAGGCGAGAGACCGAUAGCGAACAAGUACCGUGAGGGAAAGAUGAAAAGAACUUUGGAAAGAGAGUUAAACAGUACGUGAAAUUGUUGAAAGGGAAACGCUUGAAGUCAGUCGCGUCCUUCAGAGAUCAACCCGGCCAUUUCGCUCGGUGCACUCUCUGUGGGAUGGGUCAGCAUCAAUUUUGACUGGGGGAAAAAGUCUGUGGGGAUGUGGCACCCUCGUGGUGUGUUAUAACCUGCUUGCAUAUACCUCGGUUGGGAUUGAGGAACUCAGCACGCCUAAAGGCCGGACUUUAGUCACGUACGUGCUUAGGAUGCUGGCAUAAUGUCUUCAAUCGACCCGUCUUGAAACACGGACCAAGGAGUCUAACAUGCCCGCGAGUGUUUGGGUGAAAAAACCCAAGCGCGUAAUGAAAGUGAAAGUUGAGACCUCUGUCGUGGAGGGCAUCGACGCCCGGAUCAGAUCUUUUGGGACGAUUCCGAGGUAGAGCGUGCACGUUGGGACCCGAAAGAUGGUGAACUA